GGCGGACGGGUGAGUAACACGUGGGUAACCUGCCUGUAAGACUGGGAUAACUCCGGGAAACCGGGGCUAAUACCGGAUGGUUGUUUGAACCGCAUGGUUCAAACAUAAAAGGUGGCUUCGGCUACCACUUACAGAUGGACCCGCGGCGCAUUAGCUAGUUGGUGAGGUAACGGCUCACCAAGGCAACGAUGCGUAGCCGACCUGAGAGGGUGAUCGGCCACACUGGGACUGAGACACGGCCCAGACUCCUACGGGAGGCAGCAGUAGGGAAUCUUCCGCAAUGGACGAAAGUCUGACGGAGCAACGCCGCGUGAGUGAUGAAGGUUUUCGGAUCGUAAAGCUCUGUUGUUAGGGAAGAACAAGUACCGUUCGAAUAGGGCGGUACCUUGACGGUACCUAACCAGAAAGCCACGGCUAACUACGUGCCAGCAGCCGCGGUAAUACGUAGGUGGCAAGCGUUGUCCGGAAUUAUUGGGCGUAAAGGGCUCGCAGGCGGUUUCUUAAGUCUGAUGUGAAAGCCCCCGGCUCAACCGGGGAGGGUCAUUGGAAACUGGGGAACUUGAGUGCAGAAGAGGAGAGUGGAAUUCCACGUGUAGCGGUGAAAUGCGUAGAGAUGUGGAGGAACACCAGUGGCGAAGGCGACUCUCUGGUCUGUAACUGACGCUGAGGAGCGAAAGCGUGGGGAGCGAACAGGAUUAGAUACCCUGGUAGUCCACGCCGUAAACGAUGAGUGCUAAGUGUUAUGGGGUUUCCGCCCCUUAGUGCUGCAGCUAA
RNAcentral lists this ribosomal RNA (774 nucleotides) under Bacillus tequilensis. Its description in RNAcentral is "bacterial SSU rRNA". It matches the Rfam family "Bacterial small subunit ribosomal RNA", at positions 97 to 855 of the family's 1533-position model. The record is from RNAcentral. Lineage: Bacteria; Bacillati; Bacillota; Bacilli; Caryophanales; Bacillaceae.